Long non-coding RNA from Meriones unguiculatus (Mongolian gerbil), 1502 nucleotides. RefSeq lists it as uncharacterized. The transcript has 3 exons. Lineage: Eukaryota; Metazoa; Chordata; Mammalia; Rodentia; Muridae. The record is from RefSeq and is a predicted model, not a curated record.
CGCCCAUGAGGACCAUGGAGAACGGUUUUUACACUGUGACGAAAAGCACGGGGAAGCACACAUUUAAUUUUGAACCCAGUUUAUCCGUGCAGACACAGGACAGAAGAAAAUACAGCCUGCAUGCUCCUGUUCUGGCAAGCCCUGCUGCCUGUUAGGGCACGCCGCCCUGGACACCCCCUAAGAUGUGCUAGUGACGCCGCACUGAAUGCAAGAACGUUGCCGCCACAGAUAGCCAGACGCUUGGGCCCGUACCUAUUCAGCCUUCUGCCCUCCAGGGUGAGCCUUGAGUGGUGGUGCCUGACGCUUCUGGGGCAGCGACCCUUCACCAUCUACCAGUCCUAGCACCCUAUCAGGGCUCUGAGGCGGGAGCACCAAACACUCUGCCUGCAGACGAGGAGGAGGAAGGAAAGACUACCAGAGGCGAGUAUUUUGGUUCAAGGUCGCAGGCCUUGUGAAGGUCACAGACCUCAUGAAGGUUGCAGGCCUUGGGGAUGUCAGCGUUUUAUCUUUGCUGCCUUGGGAGAGUGAGCGGGAGGAGCCAAGGAAGGAGUGGAGCACCCAGAGCUGAUGUGCCCGGCAUUUGGUGAUUGCGACAUGAUGUCAUCUGCAGAGUUCAUGCUGGACAGGCAGCCAGGUUACAAUGACUGAGCACCCCCAAGCCCUGUAACAUUCCAGGUGAAUUGAUGGUUGUGUGUUGGGGGAAUUCACAGGUGUCACGGCCACACAGAUGGUGACUGGUUAUUGUCGUUGACCCUGUGUGAACCAGGGAAGUCUUGGGCUACCUGACCUAACUGAGUUAACGAGGGAGUAGUCCCACCUUAAGAAAAAAACAGAGCGAGACCUCAGGGUUUAGAAAUAUCAGGUUCAACACACACACACACACACACACACACACACACACACGGAACACAUCAGUUGUGCAAAUGCCCACAGAGCUUCUCCCAUCCUCUCGAAUGAUACAGAGGCUCUUCCUGUCCAACUCUGGCUAAAUAAAGGGUCCACAACUUGCUGCUCUUACAAUGGCCAGCGCACACCCCCAAAAAGUACAACCACAGGCUUCUCUGGCGUGUGAGACGCCGGCAUGAGCUGGGCAGUGACUGAAGAAGCAGCGGAUGAUGGGAGCAUGGCUGGAGGAGCAAAGGAGAGGUUAGCGCCACCCCCUUCCGACAGCUAUCCAGCUGCAAACCCUGACUUCCCAGUAGGUAACACCCAGGCCCGAGGGGACGACAGAGCUCACAUUAAAUCUAGACUUGGACAGAACCCAGGCUAAGAUGGAGGCACUCACAGGCCUGCGGGGACGUGUUGACACUGUACAAGGACAAGUCAGAGCCCACCACUCAGUUCCCAUCCUUGGCAAUGAAGAGCUCAGCCUGGGUGGGCCACCAGCAGCCGGUCCCCCAGAGGACCAGGAACCCCCAGACACUCUCCUGGGGCUCACUCCACACCCACUCCACCAGCUGACAUUUUCCAGCACCGAGGCGGAAAUCACUCUAAAUGGCUGA